AACCCAUGUUGAGGGCACUUUCGGUGCAUGUUCUUGAAUCUGUUCCAAGCUUCGUCAAAUGAUUCGAUUUCUCCUUGACUGAAUACUGAUAUUUCAUGUCUCAGUUU
Molecule: small nucleolar RNA, 107 nt
Filed under: Olea europaea subsp. europaea
Lineage: Eukaryota; Viridiplantae; Streptophyta; Magnoliopsida; Lamiales; Oleaceae
Source: RNAcentral